CUGCGGCAGCGAACGUAUCACUUAAAGCGAUUCAGCGGGUUACGAUUGACGGAGCGAAGCGACGUCAAAGCGUAUACAAAGUCGAGUCGGUUUAAGGAUACGUUCGUUGGGUAGGGGAGCGUUCUGUAAGCCUGUGAAGGUGUGUCGUGAGGCAUGCUGGAGGUAUCAGAAGUGCGAAUGCUGACAUAAGUAACGAUAAAGCGGGUGAAAAGCCCGCUCGCCGGAAGACCAAGGGUUCCUGUCCAACGUUAAUCGGGGCAGGGUGAGUCGACCCCUAAGGCGAGGCCGAAAGGCGUAGUCGAUGGGAAACGGGUUAAUAUUCCCGUACUUGGUGUUACUGCGAAGGGGGGACGGAGAAGGCUAUGUUGGCCGGGCGACGGUUGUCCCGGUUUAAGCGUGUAGGCUGGUUUUCCAGGCAAAUCCGGAAAAUCAAGGCUGAGGCGUGACGACGAGGCACUACGGUGCUGAAGCAACAAAUGCCCUGCUUCCAGGAAAAGCCUCUAAGCAUCAGGUAACAUCAAAUCGUACCCCAAACCGACACAGGUGGUCAGGUAGAGAAUACCAAGGCGCUUGAGAGAACUCGGGUGAAGGAACUAGGCAAAAUGGUGCCGUAACUUCGGGAGAAGGCACGCUGACACGUAGGUGAAGUGAUUUACUCAUGGAGCUGAAGUCAGUCGAAGAUACCAGCUGGCUGCAACUGUUUAUUAAAAACACAGCACUGUGCAAACACGAAAGUGGACGUAUACGGUGUGACGCCUGCCCGGUGCCGGAAGGUUAAUUGAUGGGGUCAGCGCAAGCGAAGCUCCUGAUCGAAGCCCCGGUAAACGGCGGCCGUAACUAUAACGGUCCUAAGGUAGCGAAAUUCCUUGUCGGGUAAGUUCCGACCUGCACGAAUGGCGUAAUGAUGGCCAGGCUGUCUCCACCCGAGACUCAGUGAAAUUGAACUCGCUGUGAAGAUGCAGUGUACCCGCGGCAAGACGGAAAGACCCCGUGAACCUUUACUAUAGCUUGACACUGAACAUUGAGCCUUGAUGUGUAG
This 1039-nucleotide ribosomal RNA is filed under the name Salmonella enterica subsp. enterica serovar Cannstatt. RNAcentral describes it as "partial 23S ribosomal RNA". It matches the Rfam family "Bacterial large subunit ribosomal RNA", at positions 1200 to 2141 of the family's 2925-position model. Lineage: Bacteria; Pseudomonadati; Pseudomonadota; Gammaproteobacteria; Enterobacterales; Enterobacteriaceae. The record is from RNAcentral.